RNAcentral lists this ribosomal RNA (487 nucleotides) under Escherichia coli 7-233-03_S3_C2. Its description in RNAcentral is "bacterial SSU rRNA". It matches the Rfam family "Bacterial small subunit ribosomal RNA", at positions 1040 to 1527 of the family's 1533-position model. The record is from RNAcentral. Lineage: Bacteria; Pseudomonadati; Pseudomonadota; Gammaproteobacteria; Enterobacterales; Enterobacteriaceae.
GCUGCAUGGCUGUCGUCAGCUCGUGUUGUGAAAUGUUGGGUUAAGUCCCGCAACGAGCGCAACCCUUAUCCUUUGUUGCCAGCGGUCCGGCCGGGAACUCAAAGGAGACUGCCAGUGAUAAACUGGAGGAAGGUGGGGAUGACGUCAAGUCAUCAUGGCCCUUACGACCAGGGCUACACACGUGCUACAAUGGCGCAUACAAAGAGAAGCGACCUCGCGAGAGCAAGCGGACCUCAUAAAGUGCGUCGUAGUCCGGAUUGGAGUCUGCAACUCGACUCCAUGAAGUCGGAAUCGCUAGUAAUCGUGGAUCAGAAUGCCACGGUGAAUACGUUCCCGGGCCUUGUACACACCGCCCGUCACACCAUGGGAGUGGGUUGCAAAAGAAGUAGGUAGCUUAACCUUCGGGAGGGCGCUUACCACUUUGUGAUUCAUGACUGGGGUGAAGUCGUAACAAGGUAACCGUAGGGGAACCUGCGGUUGGAUCACC